Non-coding RNA from Providencia rettgeri, 128 nucleotides. NCBI's taxonomy places the organism in Bacteria, Pseudomonadati, Pseudomonadota, Gammaproteobacteria, Enterobacterales, Morganellaceae. The record is from Rfam.
UAUCACAUGCACGUUGUUAUUUUUCGUUUCUUUUUUUACUUUAGCACCUGAAUUUCGGGGGCUUUUUUGCGUAAAUAAAGAAGAAACGAAAAGUUACGCUAAAGCCUCCUUAGGGAGGCUUUUUUGUU